UGAGGAUUAGGCAAGCUUGGUAAGCCAGCAGACUUUGAAUCUGCCAUGCAUACGUUCGAAUCGUAUAUCCUCAG
This 74-nucleotide transfer RNA is filed under the name Dunaliella salina. RNAcentral describes it as "tRNA-Gln". It matches the Rfam family "tRNA". From Rfam's summary of the family: Transfer RNA (tRNA) molecules are approximately 80 nucleotides in length. The record is from RNAcentral. Lineage: Eukaryota; Viridiplantae; Chlorophyta; Chlorophyceae; Chlamydomonadales; Dunaliellaceae.